CAUGGCUCUCCAUUGUGAGAACCAAAGACAAGGAAGUGGUCCUGAAGUGUGAGGCUGAAGGGUUAGUCUAUAAGCCUGAGUUGGUGUUGCUGAACAGUAAGGGAACCAUCCUCCCUGCUGAUGAACCUACAGAGAGACCCAUGGACUCUGAGGGCUUAUACACAGUGACACGCUAUUUCACUGUCAAGAAGACUGCCACCCAUGUGUUCACCUGUCAAGUUCAACAGCUGGAGAUCAAACACAUGAGGGAGACACAGAUUCAUGUUCCAGACAAAAUGUUUCAUGAGGAUGCAGAGGACUUGGGAUGGAAAAUUGGAUUUGGAAUUGGAUGUGUUGUAGGUGGUGUUAUAGGGGGUGUUGUGGUGGGUUUUGUAGUUUUUCUGUUCACGCGGAAAAACAACCCCAACAACGCCCUAAAACGGCACCCAGAAGAAAAAGCGAGAGAAACCAAUGGCGGGUAUGCAGCGGGUUGUAGCGAGAUUGCCCUCCUCCAGGUUCCUGUUCUCGAUAACUUCAAUGUAAAUGGCCAUCCUAAUGGUGUGUGUGUGUCACAACCUGGAGAACUGGACAGCCAACAUACCCUUGAUUGUUUUCACCAGCCACCCUCGGCGAUGUAAUGAGAGAGACACUUUUAUUACCUGCAGUGAAGUCUCUCAACAUUUACCUUACAAGACAGUCGUGAAGAGUUAUGGUAUAGCAACUGCUUGGCAUCCGACCGCAAGGCGCUACACAAGGUAGUGCGUACGGCCCAGUACACCACUGGGGCCAAGCUUCCUGCCAUCCAGGAUCUCUAUACCAGGCGGUGUCGGAGGAAGGCCCUAAAAAUUUCAAGACUCCAACCACCCAAGUCAUGGAAUAUUCUCUCUGCUACCGCACGGCAAGUGGUACCGGCGCGCCAAGUCUAGGUCCAAGAGGCCUCUAAAACAGCUUCUACCCCCAAAUCAAAAGACUAAUCCCAGUAGGAAUAGUACCAGGUUUCCUCCAGACACAUCGCUUGGCAUUCAGGCCAAAGAGUUCAAUCUUGGUUUCAUCAGACCAGAGAAUCUUGUUUCUCAUGGUCUAAGAGUCUUUAGGUGCCUUUUGGAAAACUGCAAGCAGGCCGUCGUUCCUUUUUACUGAGGAGUGGCUUUCGUCUGGCCACUC
Long non-coding RNA from Oncorhynchus masou masou (cherry salmon), 1143 nucleotides. RefSeq lists it as uncharacterized. The transcript has 3 exons. Lineage: Eukaryota; Metazoa; Chordata; Actinopteri; Salmoniformes; Salmonidae. The record is from RefSeq and is a predicted model, not a curated record.